GUGGGGAAUCUUGCGCAAUGGGCGAAAGCCUGACGCAGCCAUGCCGCGUGAAUGAUGAAGGUCUUAGGAUUGUAAAAUUCUUUCACCGGGGACGAUAAUGACGGUACCCGGAGAAGAAGCCCCGGCUAACUUCGUGCCAGCAGCCGCGGUAAUACGAAGGGGGCUAGCGUUGCUCGGAAUUACUGGGCGUAAAGGGCGCGUAGGCGGACAGUUUAGUCAGAGGUGAAAGCCCAGGGCUCAACCUUGGAAUUGCCUUUGAUACUGGCUGUCUUGAGUACGGGAGAGGUGAGUGGAACUCCGAGUGUAGAGGUGAAAUUCGUAGAUAUUAGGAAGAACACCAGUGGCGAAGGCGACUCACUGGCCCGUUACUGACGCUGAGGCGCGAAAGCGUGGGGAGCAAACAGGAUUAGAUACCCCGGUAGUCC
RNAcentral lists this ribosomal RNA (425 nucleotides) under uncultured bacterium. RNAcentral describes it as "partial 16S ribosomal RNA". It matches the Rfam family "Bacterial small subunit ribosomal RNA", at positions 354 to 796 of the family's 1533-position model. The record is from RNAcentral.